Molecule: unclassified non-coding RNA, 371 nt
Filed under: Hevea brasiliensis (rubber tree)
Lineage: Eukaryota; Viridiplantae; Streptophyta; Magnoliopsida; Malpighiales; Euphorbiaceae
Source: RNAcentral
UAACAAGCAUAAGCUAAAACAAGAUGUACUAAUCCGACGAAUCCAAUAGGACACAUGAUGGCUUGAAUAGUUUUCUCAGACACGUACGAUUGAAAAUUGAUAAAAAGAGAACAGAAAAUAGAAGAUACUGAAUCAAGGUCCACUACUUGGAGGGGGAAAAUAUGGAAGCUAAAUUUUCAAUAUGGAGAACCAGAGUUUGAAGUUUACCCAUGAAAGACUUAAUCCAUAUCUCAGAACGAUUGCAAUUUGCUUAUAUAUAGUGAGAGAUUCUUACAGAAUUCCCAGUGAAAAACCUUCAAUAUAAUAUCAGAAACAUAAGAGCAGAACAAGGAAAAAAAAGAAGAAUACCUUAUGUACAGGACUAACAACAG